RNAcentral lists this ribosomal RNA (497 nucleotides) under uncultured bacterium. Its description in RNAcentral is "partial 16S ribosomal RNA". It matches the Rfam family "Bacterial small subunit ribosomal RNA", at positions 28 to 507 of the family's 1533-position model. The record is from RNAcentral.
GAUGAACGCUGGCGGCGUGCCUAAUACAUGCGAGUCGAGCGAACAGACGAGGAGCUUGCUCCUCUGACGUUAGCGGCGGACGGGUGAGUAACACGUGGAUAACCUACCUAUAAGACUGGUAUAACUUCGGGAAACCGGAGCUAAUACCGGAUAAUAUAUUGAACCGCAUGGUUCAAUAGUGAAAGACGGUUUUGCUGUCACUUAUGGAUGGAUCCGCGCCGCAUUAGCUAGUUGGUAAGGUAACGGCUUACCAAGGCAACGAUGCGUAGCCGACCUGAGAGGGUGAUCGGCCACACUGGAACUGAGACACGGUCCAGACUCCUACGGGAGGCAGCAGUAGGGAAUCUUCCGCAAUGGGCGAAAGCCUGACGGAGCAACGCCGCGUGAGUGAUGAAGGUCUUCGGAUCGUAAAACUCUGUUAUUAGGGAAGAACAAAUGUGUAAGUAACUAUGCACGUCUUGACGGUACCUAAUCAGAAAGCCACGGCUAACUACGUG